Long non-coding RNA from Rhinolophus ferrumequinum (greater horseshoe bat), 251 nucleotides. RefSeq lists it as uncharacterized. The transcript is spliced from 4 exons. The record is from RefSeq and is a predicted model, not a curated record. Lineage: Eukaryota; Metazoa; Chordata; Mammalia; Chiroptera; Rhinolophidae.
CCGUGCCAGAAAUUUUACACUGCUCUUUGUAAUUGCGUUUGGCCCAGUUCCUAUUUCCUUUUUGUAGGGAGGAAACUGAACAUACAUGUGAGCAGAUCUUCACAGGCGUCCUAGGCUGGGACCCCAUGCCAAUUGUACCAUGUUUCUAUGCCAGGCUAUAAGGAUCACUGAAUGUGCAGAAGCAGAGGUAAAAGAAGCUGCCACAUAAACCCCAUAAGUUGACCUGGGUCUUGCUGACACAGAGCUGGAAG